GACGAACGCUGGCGGCGUGCUUAACACAUGCAAGUCGAACGGAAAGGCCCCUUCGGGGGUGCUCGAGUGGCGAACGGGUGAGUAACACGUGGGUGAUCUGCCCUGCACUUUGGGAUAAGCCUGGGAAACUGGGUCUAAUACCGAAUACACCUCAGUGGUUGCAAUGACUGGUGGGGGAAAGUUUUUGUGGUGUGGGAUGAGCCCGCGGCCUAUCAGCUUGUUGGUGGGGUGAGGCCUACCAAGGCGACGACGGGUAGCCGGCCUGAGAGGGUGUCCGGCACACUGGGACUGAGAUACGGCCCAGACUCCUACGGGAGGCAGCAGUGGGGAAUAUUGCACAUGGGCGCAAGCCUGAUGCAGCGACGCCGCGU
This 371-nucleotide ribosomal RNA is filed under the name uncultured bacterium. Its description in RNAcentral is "bacterial SSU rRNA". It matches the Rfam family "Bacterial small subunit ribosomal RNA", at positions 28 to 402 of the family's 1533-position model. The record is from RNAcentral.